Molecule: transfer RNA, 72 nt
Filed under: Bos taurus (domestic cattle)
Lineage: Eukaryota; Metazoa; Chordata; Mammalia; Artiodactyla; Bovidae
Also listed under: 2 other names
Rfam family: tRNA
About the family: Transfer RNA (tRNA) molecules are approximately 80 nucleotides in length.
Source: Rfam by way of RNAcentral
UCCCUGGUGGCUCAGACGGUAAAGCAUCUACCUACAAUGCAGGAGACCCAGGUUCGAUCCCUGGGUGGGGAA